Molecule: ribosomal RNA, 378 nt
Filed under: Potamon algeriense
Lineage: Eukaryota; Metazoa; Arthropoda; Malacostraca; Decapoda; Potamidae
Description: partial large subunit ribosomal RNA
Rfam family: Bacterial large subunit ribosomal RNA (bases 241-378)
Source: RNAcentral
AUUAAAGGGCCGCAGUAUUCUAACCGUGCAAAGGUACCGUAAUCAUUAGGUUCUUGACUGUAUGAAUGGUUGAACAAAAGAAAUUGUCUAUAUUAAAUUUUGAAUUUAACUAAGUGAAAAGGCUUAAAUAUAGUUAAGGGACGAAAAGACUAAAAACUUAACAUUGUGAUUUUAUUUAGUUGAAUUUGUAAAAUAAUUAAUUUAUUUUUUGUGUUGGGGAGACAAAGGUAAAAUAUAUUUUAACUGCUUUAUUCUUUUUGAGAGUUCUUAUCGAAAAAAGAGUUUGCGACCUCGAUGUUGAAUUAAAAUAUCUCUAUGGUGCAGAAAUCAUAAGAGAAGGUCUGUUCGACCUUUAAAUUUUUACAUGAUUUGAGUUCA